RNAcentral lists this ribosomal RNA (119 nucleotides) under Cronobacter turicensis z3032. Lineage: Bacteria; Pseudomonadati; Pseudomonadota; Gammaproteobacteria; Enterobacterales; Enterobacteriaceae. The record is from RNAcentral.
GCCUGGCGGCUGUAGCGCGGUGGUCCCACCUGACCCCAUGCCGAACUCAGAAGUGAAACGCCGUAGCGCCGAUGGUAGUGUGGGGCUUCCGCCUGCGAGAGUAGGGAACUGCCAGGCAU